RNAcentral lists this ribosomal RNA (482 nucleotides) under Striostrea prismatica. Its description in RNAcentral is "partial 16S ribosomal RNA". It matches the Rfam family "Bacterial large subunit ribosomal RNA", at positions 1832 to 2597 of the family's 2925-position model. The record is from RNAcentral. Lineage: Eukaryota; Metazoa; Mollusca; Bivalvia; Ostreida; Ostreidae.
CACUGGAAGAAUUUACUUUCAGCAAUACCUGCCCGGUGCAAAGUGUAAACGGCCGCCCUAGCGUGAGGGUGCGAAGGUAGCGAAAUUCCUUGCCUUUUAAUUGUAGGCCUGCAUGAAUGGUUCGACGAGGGCUUAACUGUUUCUUACCUUUAUAAUGAAAUUGAAAUAUAGGUGAAGAUGCCUUUAUGAAAAAAUUAGACAAAAAGACCCCGUGCAACUUUUUAAAAUCGGUGAAUUUAGAAGCUUCGAGAUUUUUAGGUGGGGCGCCUAUAGAGCAAAUCUAACCUCAAGAGUAAUUUAAACUUACUAGUCUAGACCCGGCAUAUCGUCGAUCUAAGGAGAAGUUACGCCGGGGAUAACAGGCUUAUCCAACAGUAGAGCUCGUAUUGGCUGUUGGGAUUGGCACCUCGAUGUUGAAUCAGGGAUGAUACCUUUAGGGCGUAGAAGCUCUGAAAGUGGGUCUGUUCGACCUUUAAUACCCU